Molecule: transfer RNA, 64 nt
Filed under: Sininocellia chikun
Lineage: Eukaryota; Metazoa; Arthropoda; Insecta; Raphidioptera; Inocelliidae
Also listed under: 1 other name
Description: tRNA-Leu
Source: RNAcentral
AUUAUUUUGGCAGAAAAGUGCAAUGAAUUUAGAAUUCAUUAAUGUAAUUUAAUUACAGAUAAUA